Molecule: long non-coding RNA, 387 nt
Organism: Mytilus californianus (California mussel)
Lineage: Eukaryota; Metazoa; Mollusca; Bivalvia; Mytilida; Mytilidae
Exons: 3
Source: RefSeq, a predicted model, not a curated record
UAAAAAAAAAUGUGGGGUUUAGCUUUGAAAAUUUUUAUACUACUAAACGCUGAUAUUGUAUCUGCCAAAUACUUUCUCAAUUCAUCAAAAGUAACAUGGAAGGAUGCACAGAAACUCUGCAAUGUUUAUUCUAUCGGCAACAUCAUGCACACGAAGAGAGAUUUAACUGAGUUACCCGAAAUCUUUACCGCAUGGACUUCGUCACGGAAUCUAAAAUCAGAUUGGACAUCUUUUUAUGGUUGCUUGGACGUAUCAGUUAAUAUGGUUACAAUUAACGAUACAAAACGAACUUUAAACCAAUAUUUUCCAGACAGUACACACGCCGUUGAAUCCGAAAGCGUAUUCAAGUGUGCAUAUUUUUGUACCACAAAAGGCAAUGUUUUCACG